Molecule: long non-coding RNA, 682 nt
Organism: Cervus elaphus (red deer)
Lineage: Eukaryota; Metazoa; Chordata; Mammalia; Artiodactyla; Cervidae
Exons: 3
Source: RefSeq, a predicted model, not a curated record
GCGGCCCGGCGGCCCGACCACGACCCCGCUUCCCACUCCCCGGACCGAGUUGCUUCUCCUCGGGCCUCUGGAGGCAAAAGGGAGUCACUGUCGCUUUGAUUGUUGGUCUCUCGGAUGGUGAGGGCUGGCGCCCUGCCCCGGGCGGUCUGCCCCGCUCCCCGCUGUCCCCAGGACCCAGCCCCUGACCCCUACCCCGAGGGCCGACAGCUUCCUACGGUCAUCGCCUCGGAGGAGGGACCCAGUGAAUUUUGGGGUCUCUUGCUAGAGCAGGGUUAAAAUACAGCCAUCCCCCGGGAUAAAUUCGUUCCUUCGGAGCUGUCAGGGGCCUGGCUUUGGGGCCAGGAACAGGGUUGGCAGACUUAGCACGCACACAAAAGAAUGCCAGGUAAACUCAAGUACAGUUUUGUCUGUGACUUUUCUCCCAAGCCAUCAGCUUUCUUAACAGAUUUUAAAAAGAAACAACCGAUCACUUAGAUCAUGGAAUUCAGCUAAAGCUGCUGCCCUUUAUGUCUGUGGAACCUUUCCUUUCAAGAAGCUUAAUGUUUUUAUAUUGUUGUUGUUCAGUUGAUGGAAACGGGACCCUGAGCAGAGCAUCCUCCAUGGAUUUGUCAAUGUGACACCCAAGUUCACUGAGGUGCUGGGAAUUGGUCCAAGAAAGAAAAACCAGGGCAGGCAUUCAGAG